GACGAACGCUGGCGGCGUGCUUAACACAUGCAAGUCGAACGGAAAGGCCCUGCUUUUGUGGGGUGCUCGAGUGGCGAACGGGUGAGUAACACGUGAGUAACCUGCCCUUGACUUUGGGAUAACUUCAGGAAACUGGGGCUAAUACCGGAUAUGAGCUCCUGCUGCAUGGUGGGGGUUGGAAAGUUUCGGCGGUUGGGGAUGUACUCGCGGCUUAUCAGCUUGUUGGUGGGGUAGUGGCUUACCAAGGCUUUGACGGGUAGCCGGCCUGAGAGGGUGACCGGCCACAUGGGGACUGAGAUACGGCCCAGACUCCUACGGGAGGCAGCAGUGGGGAAUAUUGCACAAUGGGCGGAAGCCUGAUGCAGCAACGCCGCGUGCGGGAUGACGGCCUUCGGGUUGUAAACCGCUUUCGCCUGUGACGAAGCGUGAGUGACGGUAAUGGGUAAAGAAGCACCGGCUAACUACGUG
RNAcentral lists this ribosomal RNA (468 nucleotides) under uncultured bacterium. RNAcentral describes it as "partial 16S ribosomal RNA". It matches the Rfam family "Bacterial small subunit ribosomal RNA", at positions 28 to 507 of the family's 1533-position model. The record is from RNAcentral.